AUCAUUCUGACUGCUGCUCCAGCUUAAGUCAGGAACUAUACCAUAUUUGUACAGUGCAGUUAUAUGUUCACUUGGGAUUUUUUUUUUUUGCUUUGGUCGCCAGUUACUGGUUAUGGGCAAUUGCUCUAUUUUUUUCCAUUACCCCCAGAGAAUUGGCGAAUGUUGUUUGUUAACUUGCUCGUUGCCCAGACGUUUCAAAGGUUGAAUAUUUAAGUUGUAACAGAUGUUGCAACUAUUUAUCCAUAAAAUCACGAAAUACCGAAUAACUUUCGAAUUAACAUCACAAUCGAACGAGCGCUUUUCAUGUCAAUAAAAAGUGCUUCUGCUGUCGAUUUCAUAAACAAUGACGUCUAAUAACUGAAGAUCCGGGACAAAAUCUCUAGGUUAUCAUUAAUCAAUAUUUAUUUUUCUUUUAAAAAAACGUUAUCCUUUGUACAGAAAAAGAGAGAGAGAAAACAAAAAGUUGGAUUCAACUAGAAUUUGCUGACUCGUCAAGAGUCGGUUAAAACUCUAAACUGAGCCAACUGCAAGGAAAAUAUGCAACUUGGACUUCUUCCCUAGCAAGCAAGUUGGAAAAAGUUGUUGGGGGAAUUUGUGUUCACUGGGUCAGCGCGGCCUGUGCUGCUGGCGCUGGUUGAGUGAUACCGGGUAGUGCGAGGGGAGCGUCACCGGGGGCACGGGCUUAGUGUUACCGGCAGCACCGGGAGAGAUGGGGGGGGGCGAAGGGACUGUCGCCGAGGCCGUGAGCGGAGCGUUAGCUACAGCACCGGGGGCGUGAGCUGAGGUUCACCGAGCGAAGAAAAAUCCCAGCGACAAAACGCUCUGACAGGAAUCUUACAUGGCAACCGCAGCCACUUCCGGCAGCGCGACACGGAGCGCCCCCCGCCGGCAGGAAGCUGGAGGCGGCCGGUCAGUCCUCCCAACACAGCGCCAUCCGGCGGUCAGUGCUAGCGCCGCACGCCAGCUGGAGGCGGCAGGUCAGUCCUCCCAACACAGCCCCACCCGUCGGCCAGUCCUCAAACCACAGCCCCACCCGCCGGCAGGAGGCGUCCGGUCAGAUCUCCCCGCCACAGUGCCACCUGCCGGCUGGAGGCGGCCGUUCAGUCCUCUCACCACAGCGCCACCUGCCCGACAGGUCCUCCGGCCACAGCACCACCCGCCCGACCGGUCAGUCCUCCCAACACAGCGCCAUCUACCGCACCGGCAUAGUGCGGGUCCCAGGCCUGCUGCCACCUGCUGCUCCAGAGGAGUGAGACUCCUCUAUUUCCUUCAGUUUACUUUAUUGUCAGGUGUACUGAGAAAAAAAGCUGCCACUUUCGGCUGUGAUUUUUGGCCAUCAUACUCAGAGUCCCCCUCCGCUGUGCAGGACAAGAGGAUUUUUCCCAUCGAUGAAAAAUAAAAGAGUUAAUGUUUAAAAAAUGUUGAGAUUCUCUCUGCUGCCCCUGCUGGUGUGUGGGGGGAGGAACUAUAAAACCUGGAAGUGUUGUGCCUCAGUCAGUCUCUGCAAGGUGGGGGAACGUGAGAGGGUCACAUCUCGCAGUCUGAGCUGUGAAUGACACUGAACACAUGUCUACUAAAUUGUGAGUGUGGUUUUACCGAUCUUGAGUGCCCUUAAUGUGGUUUGAAAAUGAAAAUGUGGUUGGGUUGAAGUUAAAGCACUGCAAAUGGUUCGGGGAUUGAGUUGAAGUUAAAGCACUGCAAAUGGUUGGUGGGGGGUUUGGGUUCAAGUUCAAGCACUGCAAACGGUUGGUGAUGGGUUUGGGUUGAAGUUAAAGCACUGCAAAUGGUUGGAAGUCUAAACUUGACAACUUCCUGUUUGCACUGUAUAUUGAUAUUAGAUAAAACGUUACCACUUACGGCUGUGAUUUUUGACCAUCUUACUCAUCAGGUGCAGAGGAUUCUUCCCAUCAAUGAAAAAUAAAAGUGUUAUUUGUGCUUAAAAAAUGUUGAGAAUCUCUCUCCUGUCAAUCACGCCAUGAAGGCCACAACUUUUCCGGUGGGAGGGGGGAGGGAUUAUAAAACCCGGAAGUGUGGGUGUGGCUCAGUCUCUGCAUGAUGGGGGAGGGAGAGGACACGACUUUGUCUGAGCUGUGAAUCAACUGAACACACUGAAUGUCUACUGAACUGUGAGUAUGGUGUUUUGUGUGGAUUUAUGGUGGUUUCACCCUGCUUGAAAUAGUAUGAAACUGCAUUUGAAUAUGGUGGCCUUGUACCCUGCAUGAAAUGGUAUGAAACUGCAUUUGAAUUUGGUGGCCUUGCACCCUGCUUGAAGUGGUAUGAAACUGCAAAUUUGGUGGCCUUGCACCCUGCUUCAAGUGGUAUGAAACGGCACUUGAAUUCGGUGGCCUUGCACCCUGUUUGAAGUGGUCGGAAACUGCACUUGAAUUCGGUGGCCUUGCACCG
This is an RNA transcript of Leucoraja erinaceus (little skate), 2403 nucleotides long. It is a transcript of the gene named small nuclear ribonucleoprotein-associated protein B'-like, with no coding region annotated. The transcript has 3 exons. NCBI's taxonomy places the organism in Eukaryota, Metazoa, Chordata, Chondrichthyes, Rajiformes, Rajidae. The record is from RefSeq and is a predicted model, not a curated record.